Molecule: long non-coding RNA, 1623 nt
Organism: Rosa rugosa (rugosa rose)
Lineage: Eukaryota; Viridiplantae; Streptophyta; Magnoliopsida; Rosales; Rosaceae
Exons: 2
Source: RefSeq, a predicted model, not a curated record
UGAGCCCCGGAAGACAGGUAUAUUUGGCACUUUGAUUCGAAAGGAUCGAUGUUUCUCAGUAAAAAGUUGUUACCAUGUAGUCGAACUACCCCUAGCUUGGUCCAGAAUGCUGGGGCAUCAUCUUUAACUGGGAAUAAUCUUGGGAAGUACUGAAAGAGUGUGUGGAGUGCGUGAACUCGGGUCCGUUCUCAAAUUCCUAAUUUCUUCUCUUCCUCUCGCUCGCUCUCUCUUUCUCUCUUUCUCUCUCGCUCAGAGAAUUCACUCGAUUUGCAUGUCAAGCACAUCUCUUGCAUCAACUUCUCUAGAAAUCAGCUUGAUCAAAAGAAAGCUCGUCGAAAAUGCAUACAGAUUGAAACUUUAGGAACAAAUAAGAGGGUAGGGCACAAACAUAGCAAUCCCACCGCCAUUGAUUGGAAGAGAUGUGCUCGGAGCUGCAAGGAUAGGGUUCGGGAAGACUCUUUCUUUUCUAGUACCAGCUAUUGAGUUGUUAUAUAACGCAAGCUGUUCUUCUCGCAAUGGAGCUGGUGUUGUUGUCAUUUGCGCAACUAGGGAACUCGUAAUACAGGUGCAGACCCUUGCUUAUUGAUGAAUAAUGAUACUAUGAGUUAUCCCUUACUUAUUAGUGAAUAAUGAUACUAUGAUUUACUUAGGUUUGAUGUGGAAUUUGUUCUUAUAUUUCUUUACGUUAGUGUAGUCAAGCUUGAUCCAAUUUGGGCUUGUUAGAAGGAUUGCUUUUAGUUCGUUUAACGUCUAGGAGAUCAUGAUACCUGUCUUGGGAAUGGGUUUUAUGAAUAAUGUUUCUUCUGUGAUUGAGGUAUAAGCUUGAACUAUUAUGCUUUGAAUGCGAAUGCGGAAUCAUAUAUUGGACCAUUCUGAAAUUUUAGAAUCCGAAUGGAAAUAUUGGAACUGUAUUGUUUUGUGUCAAUGCAUUGUUAGUGUUAAUCACCUAAUCUUUAAGAAUGUCCAACAUUUUGCAAGGAAUGACUCGUAUUCGGCAAAUUAGUAUAGAGCUAAAGCUCCAACACUUGUGAAAACUCAAGGACUGUAGUCCUCCAUGGUGUUUGCUGUGAAAUCUAAUAAUUGGUUGGUUUGAUAUCAAAUUAUGGCGAUUUUGUGACCUUAAAGUAGUUAGUGGCUAGGUUGCACGUAUUGUUAUAUGCUAGGCAAGUUGUGUGUAGACUGCAGACAUAGAAGAAAUUAAAGCUCCUUAGUUGUACCAUGUAGACACCAAUUCUCUUCUGCUAAUGACGGUGUCUGACAAGUUCUUGCUAAUAAGUAAAGUUUAUGAUCUAUUGAGCAAUGAGGAGAGCCAUGUCAAAUGCAUCCUAAGCCACACAUCAUGCUUUCCAGGAGGCCAUUAAACUAUCAGCAACAACAGGAGAACCAUGAUGUGCUUACAAAGUGAUUGUUGUAAUGAAGCAGACCUUGUAAUCUUUAUAACUGAAAUGCUAGAUAAGAAGAGGUUAUUAUAUUCUAAAAGUAAUUUGGAUGAUGUUUAUGUCCUUGCACACGUAAAGUGUAAUCCUCUCUGGAGAAUUGCAAGUCUUUAGUGACUUCCAACAAUGUAAGCUGUGGUGUUGGUGAAUUUAUUUCGUCGGAUUGGUAUCCUCUAGUUUUUGUUUA